GAUGAACGCUGGCGGCGUGCUUAACACAUGCAAGUCGAACGGAAAGGCCCUGCUCUUGUGGCGUGCUCGAGUGGCGAACGGGUGAGUAACACGUGAGUAACCUGCCCUUGACUUUGGGAUAACUUCAGGAAACUGGGGCUAAUAUCGGAUAGGAGCUCCUGAUGCAUGGUGGUGGUUGGAAAGUUUCGGCGGUGGGGGAUGGACUCGCGGCUUAUCAGCUUGUUGGGGGGGUAGUGGCUUACCAAGGCUUUGACGGGUAGCCGGCAUGGGAGGGUGAGCGGCCACAUUGGGACUGAGGUACGGCCCAGAAUCCUACGGGAGGCAGAAGUGGAGAAUAUUGCACAAUGGGCGGAAGCCUGAUGCAGCAACGCCGCGUGCGUGAUGACGGCCUACGAGUUGUAAACCGCUUUCGCCGGUGACGAAGCGGUAGUGACGGUAAUGGGUAAAGAAGCACCGGCUAACUACGUG
This 468-nucleotide ribosomal RNA is filed under the name uncultured bacterium. RNAcentral's name for it is "partial 16S ribosomal RNA". It matches the Rfam family "Bacterial small subunit ribosomal RNA", at positions 28 to 507 of the family's 1533-position model. The record is from RNAcentral.